AAACCAACAGGGAUUGCCCUAGUAACGGCGAGUGAAGCGGCAACAGCUCAAAUUUGAAAUCUGGCUCUCGGGCCCGAGUUGUAAUUUGUAGAGGAUACUUUUGAUGCGGUGCCUUCCGAGUUCCCUGGAACGGGACGCCAUAGAGGGUGAGAGCCCCGUCUGGUUGGAUGCCAAAUCUCUGUAAAGUUCCUUCAACGAGUCGAGUAGUUUGGGAAUGCUGCUCUAAAUGGGAGGUAUAUGUCUUCUAAAGCUAAAUACCGGCCAGAGACCGAUAGCGCACAAGUAGAGUGAUCGAAAGAUGAAAAGCACUUUGAAAAGAGAGUUAAAAAGUACGUGAAAUUGUUGAAAGGGAAGCGUUUAUGACCAGACUUGGGCUUGGUUAAUCAUCUGGGGUUCUCCCCAGUGCACUUUUCCAGUCCAGGCCAGCAUCAGUUUUCCCCGGGGGAUAAAGGCGGCGGGAAUGUGGCUCUCUUCGGGGAGUGUUAUAGCCCGUCGUGUAAUACCCUGGGGGGGACUGAGGUUCGCGCAUCUGCAAGGAUGCUGGCGUAAUGGUCAUCAACGAC
RNAcentral lists this ribosomal RNA (563 nucleotides) under Fusarium sp. SQ4. Its description in RNAcentral is "eukaryotic LSU rRNA". It matches the Rfam family "Eukaryotic large subunit ribosomal RNA", at positions 62 to 648 of the family's 3401-position model. Lineage: Eukaryota; Fungi; Ascomycota; Sordariomycetes; Hypocreales; Nectriaceae. The record is from RNAcentral.